This 639-nucleotide long non-coding RNA is filed under the name Musa acuminata (dwarf banana). Its description in RNAcentral is "long non-coding RNA (MACU_LNC009192)". The record is from RNAcentral. Lineage: Eukaryota; Viridiplantae; Streptophyta; Magnoliopsida; Zingiberales; Musaceae.
AUACACGAAAACGAAUGCUGGGCUAACAACUAUGUUCUCCAAGAUGCAUUCUGAAUGCAAUAGAAAGAUCCUGAAUAAUCUUCAAGGCCAAAAUCAUUAAAAGGCUUACAUUUACCUCAGCAGUUGAUGUAUAUAUGUUUUCCUUUGACAACUACUGAGCCAAGAUAUCUUUAAGAGAGAAGCUUGAAGUACAAUAUAACAUCUGCUUUUACCGACAAUUACCAGCAAGACUCUGUUCCAUUAGAUUGAUAAUUUCCACAACCUCUUCCAAUUAUUUAAUGAUCAUUUCAAUUACCUGCUCUCUUUUCUUGUCAAUCUGCAUCUUCUAAGUGUUAACCAGAAUUAUUCUCAUUCUAAGCAAAGAUCCCAUUACAUUCUUCAUUACUUUAAGAAUGACAAGAGUCAGUCUCGUUAUGGUAAGCAUCUGCAAAUCUGUGAUAUAUACUCAUGCUUUAGGGAGUCUACACCUUAUGCUACCAGUUUUAACGUCAAAAAAAGACUCCGAUCCGAAAGUUUUUUGGUUGUGUGUGUAACACUAUUUUGAAGUAUCCAGAAUUCAUACAUAAGUAAAUUAAACAUUGAUUGUAAAUAAAUGAAGAAGAAAGAAAAGGUUUCCUAAGUCAUCUCAGCAUAAAGGUC